AGUAGGAGAAUUGCUUUAGGAGAAGCCCAAAGUGGGAUGCUUGCUUUGCUCACAUUGAUUGCGUCUCCCAGUGCCUCCCCGCGCCUCAUCUCUGUCGUCAUCCUUUUUCUACUGCAGGCUCAUCAGAGAACACAAGUAGCUCACAGCACCCUGGAGAGGGAAGGUAGGGCCUCCCUGGCUUCUCCUUGUUCUUGUGCUAAGGACAAUGACUACUUCUUUCAAUGAUCUCAGGACCUCCUUUGUAAAUAUGUGGGCCCUACGCUCUGGCACUGUUUCU
Molecule: long non-coding RNA, 277 nt
Filed under: Homo sapiens (human)
Lineage: Eukaryota; Metazoa; Chordata; Mammalia; Primates; Hominidae
Description: non-protein coding lnc-ANAPC10-7:2
Source: RNAcentral